Molecule: long non-coding RNA, 235 nt
Organism: Xiphias gladius (swordfish)
Lineage: Eukaryota; Metazoa; Chordata; Actinopteri; Istiophoriformes; Xiphiidae
Exons: 3
Source: RefSeq, a predicted model, not a curated record
UGGGCUUCUCUCAUUGGAGAGGCUAUUUUAACAUCUCUCAUGAUGUCCAUCCAGCAGAAGAGGCUUGGACGCUCGUCAGGAGCAGGUGAGACAGGUUCCUCCUGCGAUGGCGAGCACAGCGGAGCACCAGCCGAUUAUGAAAAAGACUCCAGCAGUGCCGGCAAUCCUCCCUUUGAGAACAUAGUUUUCCCCUCCUGCCUUCGAACACUGUACUCCUAUCAGGGCCGCCACUAGA